Molecule: long non-coding RNA, 380 nt
Organism: Maylandia zebra (zebra mbuna)
Lineage: Eukaryota; Metazoa; Chordata; Actinopteri; Cichliformes; Cichlidae
Source: RefSeq, a predicted model, not a curated record
GGUCUCUGCUCCGUCUCUGUGUUUCUUAAGACUUCCAGCUUCAUCACGGAGUUUCUCUCGGCUUUUUGUGGGCUCAUCUAAAGCUGAGUAACAGGAGGAGAAGAGUGGUGGUGCAGCAGAGGAUAAAUUUCAGCCAUUUGGACUCAGCUCAGCCACUACAGAGGAAAGAAUGUCUUCAACACAAAAGGACCAACAUGGAGCAAGAAGUCAGCGCUCUCAGGAGGCCGACAAACCUUACAGAAGAAAGGGAGAGGAAACCUACAGCUGUGAUGAGUGUGGGAAGUAUUUUGUCCAGGCUGGAGACUUGAAAACACACCAACUCAUCCACAGUGGAGUUAAACCUUACAGCUGUUACUUGUGUGGAAAAUCUUUUACCCAGG